AAAUUGUAAUCACUUUUGUUUUGUUUUGAUUUUCAUUCUGUUUCUGCAGGUUAAAUUUGAUUUGGUUUUGGCUUUUAGGCUUUUAACUUGUUUGAUUUGGAAUAGUAAAUAAUUCAUAAAAUAAAAUAAUUCAUUAAAUCCAAUUAAAUAAUUAAUUUCAAAUCUAGUUAUUGUUUGUAUAAAAUAAGUUUGUGUUUGGAGAAGUGUUACUAGUCCUUUCCUGUACCACAGCCAUGCCUGAUAAAAAUAAUGAUGUUGAAAAUGAUAAAUAUGUAGAAAAAAGCAGAAGUGGUCAACCAAGAAAAGAGAAAUUGAGGGGUAAAAGCGAUAUUAACAAAAACACAAAAUAUCGAAAGAAAGUAGAACGAAUUCCUAAACAGAAGAACCAAACUCAGAAUAAGAAGCUGGAACGAAGUAAAGCGAAUACUGAUGUUGGUGACAUUGAGUCUGAAAUUGAUACUGAAAAUGAGGAGGGUUUCAGAGAUGAUAUCCAAGGACGAGUCCAGGUUUCCUUGGGUUCUGUAGAUGCCAACAACGUGUAAGUUUUUCUGGCCCUGUUUUAUUUUCACAGAUAUUAGCUCACACUGUAGUUCGAUGCUGAGGUUUGUUAUAUCUGUAGGUGUAAUGGUGUACCUAGCAUUGUCAUUUUUAUAAAUAGCUACACCACCUUUUUGGUAGCUGGUUCUACUAUAUUCUGCAAUAAGUGUGUAUCCUAGAAUAUGGGUAUUCUGAAUUUCUGCCUGCUUUAAGCCAUGUUCAGUCACUACAAGGAGGUCUGGUUUAAGGUCCUCCAACAGGUGAGUUAAUCUUUCAAUUUUAUUUGAAAGCCUGUCCAUAUUUUGGUGAAUUAUUGUGAGUUGUUCAUAUUUUUUUUACUUUCUGGCUACAUUUUGGUUAAGACUUGUCAAUUUGUUGCCUUGUCCCUUUCUUUCUUUAUUGAACCAAUCUCUAAAAAAGGCCGAAUGUUGAAAUUUUGUGAGAAAUGUUUACUGAGAUCUUCUUUUGUAUAUUGCGCAGUGCAUUGGAUCCACUUGGUCAUCACAUCUUCUUUUGUAUAUUGCGCAGUGCAUUGGAUCCACUUGGUCAACACAUCUUCUUUUGUAUAUUGCGCAGUGCAUUGGAUCCACUUGGUCAACACAUCUUCUUUUGAUGUCGAUAUAUACUGUGUAUGUCUUGUUACGGCCACAACACAGUGGGGGUUUGAAUUGUAAAUUUCCUCUUCAUCUUUUGACAUUCUUACCACUGCUAUGUGGGCGACUUGUUUUCCUUGGAAUUCAUGGAUGGUAGAGCAAUUAUAUCCCCACUUUUUCAGCUCGUGCUUUUCUGAUUGUUUGAAAACCAAGAUUUGAUGUUUUUCUUUAUCCACAGGAAGGGUAGCAAAGGUAAUUUCUUAAGCUCGUUACUGAUGGCAUUGCUUGAAGUCAUACCCCCUUUGUACAUAUUGGAUAGCAGCUUUGCUACAGUGACAGGACAUCUGUAAGUGUGAUUGAGGGUUUUUGUGGUUUUUUUCAAUGUUCAGAAUGUCAUAAUACAUUGCAUUGCACUUUGGAUUUCUAUUUAUAAAUGGAAUUUGGUGCUAGUCUCCAAUCAAGAUUAUCUCUCUUACCUUUGCCAAGGCUGCUGCAAAGAAUAUUUCUCCGGCAUGUGGCAUGAGUGCCUCAUCAACAAUCAGCCUCCUGUAAGUUCCACCUGCAUUGAGAUGUUGUGUGGAGUGAAUUAUAAAGGAAUGGAUGGUGCGGCAGGAAUCUUUUAAUCUUACAAAUUCUUCAGGAUGUUUUUCCUUUAGCCUUGAGCGAAAGUCGGUGGCGCCUCAAAGGUACAACUCUUGUAGGUAUUAUUGAUUUUAAUAUAUUGUUAGACAUGUUAUAAACAUCCUUGUUGUCAGACUUGUUCAGUCUUCUGGAUGCAUUUAAAAUCUGGUCAUGAGUUAAAGGACUCCAUUUAAAACAGUCUAUUGUAGAAUUUGUAUUUUUAAAUAAAUCCUCACGUGGAAUUGUUGGAGUGCCUAUUUUUGUUUGAUUUGUUUGAUACAAUCAAUAAAAUAGUUAUUGAAACUAUUAGGAGGAAUAAAUGUUGUUUGCUAUACUUUGUGUACCAGAUGACUUGUAUACCAGUCAUGAUAAUUUUGUUGAGUUUUUGUAUAACUCUCUUAAAACAUUGAAAGUAUCCAGUAUAAUCUCAAAGAAGGUAUGAAAAUUCCCUUCUUCUACAGUAUUUUUGUUACGAUAAUAAUACACAUCAACCCAAUGAUAAGAACCCAGGUGGUCACACAAUUUAUGCAGAACUGACUUUGGAAAUACCAAUUCACAAAUUAUUUUAGUGUUUAUAGGUGGUAUUUAACUGUUUUUUGUAACAUUAUGAACUAACAAUAAUGCCAUAAUGGUCUGAAAAAGGAAAAGGGAUAUGUCACAUUUGUGGUGUUGGAAAUGGUGUGUUGAUGGACUGAUAAGUGCAUUAUCACGGCAAUUUCUACCUCUUGUAUGUUUGGUAUUCGUACAUUAAAAAUGAAAUUGUCUUAAAAGAUUUAAGAAAACAAUAACAGUUUCAAUUUUUUUGGUAAUAUCGCAAUGUAUAUUUAAAUCCUCACCAACAAUAAUAGUGUAAUAUGCCACUGAGUAGUGAAAUGCAGUAAAUAUGCAAGUUUUAAAGAAAAUCACAGGAUCUCCAGCAGUAGAGUGAUAUAAAGAUAUAACUAUCAAUAUUAGAUUGUCAAAAACAAAUGGCACAGUAGUACUCAAGUGGAUUUGAAUUCACAGCCUCAUUUUGAUUAAGCCAGUGUUCAGAGAUGCAGAUUAAAUGUAUAUUUUCUAUGUUUUGUAAACAACUGUCAAGUAGCAAUGUUUUGUUUUUAAGGGUUUGUAUGUUUCGAAAAAUUAUCUUAUUAUAUAUGUUUUUAUCAUU
Molecule: unclassified non-coding RNA, 2901 nt
Filed under: Homalodisca vitripennis (glassy-winged sharpshooter)
Lineage: Eukaryota; Metazoa; Arthropoda; Insecta; Hemiptera; Cicadellidae
Description: uncharacterized LOC124371281, transcript variant X2
Source: RNAcentral